Molecule: ribosomal RNA, 497 nt
Filed under: uncultured bacterium
Lineage: Bacteria
Description: partial 16S ribosomal RNA
Rfam family: Bacterial small subunit ribosomal RNA
Source: RNAcentral
GAUGAACGCUGGCGGCGUGCCUAAUACAUGCAAGUCGAGCGAACAGACGAGGAGCUUGCUCCUCUGACGUUAGCGGCGGACGGGUGAGUAACACGUGGAUAACCUACCUAUAAGACUGGGAUAACUUCGGGAAACCGGAGCUAAUACCGGAUAAUAUAUUGAACCGCAUGGUUCAAUAGUGAAAGACGGUUUUGCUGUCACUUAUAGAUGGAACCGCGCCGCAUUAGCUAGUUGGUAAGGUAACGGCUUACCAAGGCAACGAUGCGUAGCCGACCUGAGAGGGUGAUCGGCCACACUGGAACUGAGACACGGUCCAGACUCCUACGGGAGGCAGCAGUAGGGAAUCUUCCGCAAUGGGCGAAAGCUUGACGGAGCAACGCCGCGUGAGUGAUGAAGGUCUUCGGAUCGUAAAACUCUGUUAUUAGGGAAGAACAAAUGUGUAAGUAACUAUGCACGUCUUGACGGUACCUAAUCAGAAAGCCACGGCUAACUACGUG